This is a long non-coding RNA of Patiria miniata (bat star), 254 nucleotides long. RefSeq lists it as uncharacterized. The transcript is spliced from 3 exons. The record is from RefSeq and is a predicted model, not a curated record. Lineage: Eukaryota; Metazoa; Echinodermata; Asteroidea; Valvatida; Asterinidae.
GCAAAAGUUCUUUCGCGCAGACGACAGUCCAAGUUCAACGUGACAGCACAGAACUUGUUUAGAAUAUCUUGACUUUUGUCAAAUGUAUGACGGACUUUUUCAUUCAUGCCGGAUUGGACCCGCCAUUGAAAACGCCACGAUUAAGGCCUUUCUGGGCUCAUCAUUUCGAAGAAAUCAAAAGCCAUGACAAGGCUGUCUGUCGCCCUCGUUUGGUGAAACGUGACAAAGUGGAGCUUUAUACACGAUGGGAAUUU